UACAACGGCCAGGCGACAUU
This 20-nucleotide microRNA is filed under the name Picea abies (Norway spruce). RNAcentral's name for it is "pab-miR3695b". Lineage: Eukaryota; Viridiplantae; Streptophyta; Pinopsida; Pinales; Pinaceae. The record is from miRBase by way of RNAcentral.